UUAGUGAGGUCUCCGGAUUGGCUUUGGGGAGCCGGCGACGGCACCCUAUUGCUGAGAAGCUGAUCAAACUUGGUCAUUUAGAGGAAGUAAAAGUCGUAACAAGGUUUCCGUAGGUGAACCUGCGGAAGGAUCAUUAUCGAAUCGUAGGCGAGGGUUGUCGCUGGCCUCUCGGGGCAUGUGCACGCCCGAGCCCUUGAAUCCCAAACACCACAUGUGAACCCACCGUAGGCCUUCGGGCCUAUGUCUCAUCAUAUAAUCCGAAUGUCUAAUAGAAUGUAAACCCAUUUCGUUGCCUUGAAAACGUAACGAAAGAAAACUAUACAACUUUCAACAACGGAUCUCUUGGCUCUCGCAUCGAUGAAGAACGCAGCGAAAUGCGAUAAGUAAUGUGAAUUGCAGAUUUUCAGUGAAUCAUCGAAUCUUUGAACGCACCUUGCGCCCCUUGGUAUUCCGAGGGGCAUGCCUGUUUGAGUGUCAUUAAAUCCUCAACCCCUCCGAUUCGUUUCGGUGGGGAUUGGACUUGGAGCGUGCUGGCGAAGGUCGGCUCCUCUUUAAAUGCAUCAGCGGAGAAAAUGCCUUUUGCGCCUCUGGCCGUUCAGCGUGAUAAUGAUGUUGCGCUGCGGUCGAGCUUAAGGUCCGCUUCCAAAGGUCCUCGGACAAAUAUACAUAUGACUUUUGACCUCAAAUCAGGUAGGACUACCCGCUGAACUUAAGCAUAUCAAUAAGCGGAGGAAAAGAAACUAACAAGGAUUCCCCUAGUAACUGCGAGUGAAGCGGGAAAAGCUCAAAUUUAAAAUCUGGCGGUCUCCGGCCGUCCGAGUUGUAAUCUGGAGAAGCGUUUUCCGCGUCGGACCGUGUACAAGUCUUCUGGAACGGAGCGUCGUAGAGGGUGAGAAUCCCGUCUCUGACACGGACUGCCGAUGCUUUUGUGAUACGCUCUCG
RNAcentral lists this ribosomal RNA (942 nucleotides) under Tylospora sp. 4 RT-2012. RNAcentral describes it as "eukaryotic LSU rRNA". The stretch from base 677 to 942 matches the Rfam family "Eukaryotic large subunit ribosomal RNA", at positions 1 to 259 of the family's 3401-position model. The record is from RNAcentral. Lineage: Eukaryota; Fungi; Basidiomycota; Agaricomycetes; Atheliales; Atheliaceae.